GGCCUUGACAUACUAAGAACUUUCCAGAGAUGGAUUGGUGCCUUCGGGAACUUAGAUACAGGUGCUGCAUGGCUGUCGUCAGCUCGUGUCGUGAGAUGUUGGGUUAAGUCCCGCAACGAGCGCAACCUUUUCCUAUUUGCCAGCGGGUAAUGCCGGGAACUUUAAGGAUACUGCCAGUGACAAACUGGAGGAAGGCGGAGACGACGUCAAGUCAUCAUGGCCCUUACGGCCAGGGCUACACACGUGCUACAAUGGUCGGUACAAAGGGUUGCUACCUCGCGAGAGGAUGCUAAUCUCAAAAAAGCCGAUCGUAGUCCGGAUCGCAGUCUGCAACUCGACUGCGUGAAGUCGGAAUCGCUAGUAAUCGCGGAUCAGAAUGCCGCGGUGAAUACGUUCCCGGGCCUUGUACACACCGCCCGUCACACCAUGGGAGUUUGUUGCACCAGAAGUAGGUAGUCUAACCGCAAGGAGGACGCUUACCACGGUGUGGCCGAUGACUGGGGUGAAGUCGUAACAAGGUAGGCGUAGAUGA
Molecule: ribosomal RNA, 532 nt
Filed under: uncultured bacterium
Lineage: Bacteria
Description: bacterial SSU rRNA
Rfam family: Bacterial small subunit ribosomal RNA
Source: RNAcentral